This 724-nucleotide ribosomal RNA is filed under the name Klebsiella pneumoniae. RNAcentral's name for it is "partial 23S ribosomal RNA". It matches the Rfam family "Bacterial large subunit ribosomal RNA", at positions 98 to 867 of the family's 2925-position model. The record is from RNAcentral. Lineage: Bacteria; Pseudomonadati; Pseudomonadota; Gammaproteobacteria; Enterobacterales; Enterobacteriaceae.
UUAUAACCGGCGAUGUCCGAAUGGGGAAACCCAGUGCAAUUCGUUGCACUAUCGUUAACUGAAUACAUAGGUUAACGAGGCGAACCGGGGGAACUGAAACAUCUAAGUACCCCGAGGAAAAGAAAUCAACCGAGAUUCCCCCAGUAGCGGCGAGCGAACGGGGAGCAGCCCAGAGUCUGAAUCAGCUUGUGUGUUAGUGGAACGGUCUGGAAAGUCCGACGGUACAGGGUGAUAGUCCCGUACACCAAAAUGCACAGGCUGUGAACUCGAAGAGUAGGGCGGGACACGUGGUAUCCUGUCUGAAUAUGGGGGGACCAUCCUCCAAGGCUAAAUACUCCUGACUGACCGAUAGUGAACCAGUACCGUGAGGGAAAGGCGAAAAGAACCCCGGCGAGGGGAGUGAAAAAGAACCUGAAACCGUGUACGUACAAGCAGUGGGAGCACCUUCGGGUGUGACUGCGUACCUUUUGUAUAAUGGGUCAGCGACUUAUAUUCUGUAGCAAGGUUAACCGUAUAGGGGAGCCGCAGGGAAACCGAGUCUUAACUGGGCGUUAAGUUGCAGGGUAUAGACCCGAAACCCGGUGAUCUAGCCAUGGGCAGGUUGAAGGUUGGGUAACACUAACUGGAGGACCGAACCGACUAAUGUUGAAAAAUUAGCGGAUGACUUGUGGCUGGGGGUGAAAGGCCAAUCAAACCGGGAGAUAGCUGGUUCUCCCCGAAAGCU